This 104-nucleotide transfer RNA is filed under the name Candidatus Heimdallarchaeota archaeon. RNAcentral describes it as "tRNA-Arg". It matches the Rfam family "tRNA". From Rfam's summary of the family: Transfer RNA (tRNA) molecules are approximately 80 nucleotides in length. Lineage: Archaea; Promethearchaeati; Candidatus Heimdallarchaeota. The record is from RNAcentral.
GGAUCCGUGGCUCAGCCUGGAUACAGCUCAGUCUGACUGAGGUUGACUGAAAGAGCGUCUGCCUUCGGAGCAGAAUGUCGUGGGUUCAAAUCCCUCCGGAUCCG